GAACGCUAGCGGCAGGCCUAACACAUGCAAGUCGAGGGGUAACAGGAGAAAGCUUGCUUUCUUGCUGACGACCGGCGCACGGGUGCGUAACGCGUAUGCAACCUACCUCUUACUGGGGCAUAGCCCAGAGAAAUUUGGAUUAAUUCCCCAUAGUACCACGAAGUCGCAUGGUUUUGUGGUUAAAGGUUACGGUAAGAGAUGGGCAUGCGUCCCAUUAGCUAGUUGGUGAGGUAAUAGCUCACCAAGGCAUCGAUGGGUAGGGGUUCUGAGAGGAUGAUCCCCCACACUGGUACUGAGACACGGACCAGACUCCUACGGGAGGCAGCAGUGAGGAAUAUUGCGCAAUGGACGAAAGUCUGACGCAGCCAUGCCGCGUGCAGGAUGACGGCGCUACGCGUUGUAAACUGCUUUUAUAUACCAAGAAACCUCAGGACGUGUCCUGAGCUGACGGUAGUAUAUGAAUAAGCACCGGCUAACUCCGUGCCAGCAGCCGCGGUAAUACGGAGGGUGCAAGCGUUAUCCGGAUUUAUUGGGUUUAAAGGGUCCGUAGGCGGAUGAUUAAGUCAGUGGUGAAAGCCCACAGCUCAACUGUGGAAUUGCCAUUGAUACUGAUUGUCUUGAGUACGUUUGAUGUUGGCGGAAUAUGUCAUGUAGCGGUGAAAUGCUUAGAU
This 671-nucleotide ribosomal RNA is filed under the name uncultured Bacteroidota bacterium. RNAcentral describes it as "bacterial SSU rRNA". It matches the Rfam family "Bacterial small subunit ribosomal RNA", at positions 31 to 695 of the family's 1533-position model. The record is from RNAcentral. Lineage: Bacteria; Pseudomonadati; Bacteroidota.